RNAcentral lists this long non-coding RNA (632 nucleotides) under Parus major (Great Tit). RNAcentral's name for it is "lncRNA (ENSPMJG00000016297.1)". The record is from RNAcentral. Lineage: Eukaryota; Metazoa; Chordata; Aves; Passeriformes; Paridae.
UGUCUGGUGAGUGAAGAAGCAUCUAAUAUCUUGAAAAUUCAGUUUUCCUUUCCUCAUAUUAUUUUCCCCAUAGUUUUCUGCCUACACAACAAAAGCUGAUCGGGCAUUGUGCUGAGGAGACCAUGCCAACUUCUUUUGUAUCAGCAUGAACGCCUCUCAUCAAAUCAAAAUAACCAGUGUUAUCAGACUUGUUUGAGCAGCCCCACAUUGCAUUUUCCAGGCCUGAGUUAUUCCUUUAUAUGGAGCUACUGCACACUGGAAACAGCUGCUGUCAGCAAAAACAGCCUAUCUGAAAACCUACAAAGCUCCACAAGCCUUAACAGCUUAACAGACCACUACAGAACAGAGGUGUGAAGUUUACUGAAGUCCAAUUGAUUAAAGUCACAUGCCAGUCUUAGCUGGAAAGCAAAGAAAAGAGAUUCAAACAAUUUCAGAGGAUGUAACUAAACCACAUGUGGUUUACCAUUGAUCUUUACCAUAAAUCAGAAGAAUGAUGAAAAUUGUGGAAAAAGGUAAUGAGAAUAAAGAAAAACAACUGUUUGCUCCCACAAAAGCAUCAAGAAGUCUCAGUAUGUGGACUUCAUGCAAGGUAGUUUUCUCCUUUCUUUCCCUUGGGAUGAUUUCUGUAUUAC